GAUGAACGCUGGCGGCGUGCCUAAUACAUGCAAGUCGAGCGAACAGACGAGGAGCUUGCUCCUCUGACGUUAGCGGCGGACGGGUGAGUAACACGUUGAUAACCUACCUAUAAGACUGGGAUAACUUCGGGAAACCGGAGCUAAUACCGGAUAAUAUAUUGAACCUCAUGGUUCAAUAGUGAAAGACGGUUUUGCUGUCACUUAUAGAUGGAUCCGCGCCGCAUUAGCUAGUUGGUAAGGUAACGGCUUACCAAGGCAACGAUGCGUAGCCGACCUGAGAGGGUGAUCGGCCACACUGGAACUGAGACACGGUCCAGACUCCUACGGGAGGCAGCAGUAGGGAAUCUUCCGCAAUGGGCGAAAGCCUGACGGAGCAACGCCGCGUGAGUGAUGAAGGUCUUCGGAUCGUAAAACUCUGUUAUUAGGGAAGAACAAAUGGGUAAGUAACUAUGCACGUCUUGACGGUACCUAAUCAGAAAGCCACGGCUAACUACGUG
RNAcentral lists this ribosomal RNA (497 nucleotides) under uncultured bacterium. RNAcentral's name for it is "partial 16S ribosomal RNA". It matches the Rfam family "Bacterial small subunit ribosomal RNA", at positions 28 to 507 of the family's 1533-position model. The record is from RNAcentral.